RNAcentral lists this ribosomal RNA (222 nucleotides) under uncultured bacterium. Its description in RNAcentral is "partial 16S ribosomal RNA". It matches the Rfam family "Bacterial small subunit ribosomal RNA", at positions 328 to 539 of the family's 1533-position model. The record is from RNAcentral.
ACGCUCGACACCUACGGGAGGCAGCAGUAGGGAAUCUUCCACAAUGGGCGCAAGCCUGAUGGAGCAACACCGCGUGAGUGAAGAAGGGUUUCGGCUCGUAAAGCUCUGUUGUUGGAGAAGAACGUGCGUGAGAGUAACUGUUCACGCAGUGACGGUAUCCAACCAGAAAGUCACGGCUAACUACGUGCAGCAGCCGCGGUAAUCUGAGCGGGCUGGCAAGGC